Molecule: small nucleolar RNA, 67 nt
Organism: Phyllostomus discolor (pale spear-nosed bat)
Lineage: Eukaryota; Metazoa; Chordata; Mammalia; Chiroptera; Phyllostomidae
Product: small nucleolar RNA SNORD109A
Exons: 1
Source: RefSeq, a predicted model, not a curated record
GGGUCAGGGAAGAGCACGGUUGUGUGAGGAUGCCAAGGGACUAGUUCUACACGUCAUUCUGAGGUCC